Molecule: non-coding RNA, 96 nt
Organism: Ramaria rubella
Lineage: Eukaryota; Fungi; Basidiomycota; Agaricomycetes; Gomphales; Gomphaceae
Source: the annotation of a GenBank genome assembly
GGCAAGAUGGCCGAGUGGUCUAAGGCGCCAGACUUAGGUUGGAAAUACCAUAUCUGGUCUCGUUUCGGGGCGUGAGUUCGAACCUCACUCUUGUCA